AACCGCCCCAGGGCGGGGCUCCCGUCCGCUCCCUGCUGCCCUUUCCACCGCGGCCUCCGCCGAGGCUGCUGGGUCCUGCGGAGCUCCGAGCACGUGCGGUGCCCAGCUGCCGAUCUGAGGCGAUGCCUGCCCUGUUUUCACCAGGCUAAAAGAAGUAUUGAUCCACAACAAGGGUGCACGUGUGGUUCUAGAUCUGAAUGAGAUCUGCGUUCAUCAGGACUUGAGGUUUCUGACAACACCGUGUUUUGAGUAAUGUAUGUGAUCUCUGUAACGUAGAGGGACUUCAGAUGGGGAAAGUUGAGUUUGCUCUGAGGAUUACAGAACUGUGAUGUAAUUCCAGAGAAUGCUUGUAAAGCCCAGCUACGCUUUGGCAGAUGGGGCAGUGACGGAGCUCACUCAUGGCCACUGAGCUGCAUCUUCAACUAUAAUUCUUAGAGGGACUAGAUGAUGUCUGUGUACAUGUGGCUGGCUACUUGCUAAUUAAAAAGUAAGGGAUUUCAGACAUCUAUUUGAACGGUAGCCAUUUUAGGACAGCUUAGAAUGUUCCAGAAAGUUUAGGAUACUGCUUUUUAAAAGCAAAGGUUUAUAUAAAGAAAGGUUCCUAUAAUGGCCCAGAUAGUAAGUAUUGUUAAUAUUGGCUUUAGUUUUACAACUAUGUUGCUUUUGUGUGAGAAGUAAUGAAUGUAUCAUCAAAUAAAUGAACAUGGUUAUAUUCCAAUAAAACAUAACUGAUGAACACUGACAUUGGAAUUUCAUUGGCAUUUUCAGAGUCAACAUUCCCAAAUAUUUGAAAGUUUGAAAUUUUCCCAAAGGACAUUGACAAAGAGAUAGCAGAGCAGGAUUAGUAACAUUCUGACUGCUGGGUUUAGUCUUGAGGCACAAUGUUUUGUUUUGUGGGGGGAAGUUGGAGAGACAGUUCAUUCGUGGAAGGCCUGGCUGCUCUUCCAGAGGACCUACGUCAUUCACAACCAUCUUUAGCUUCAGACGGCUUCUGUGGUAUACAGGCAAAACACCAAUGCACAUGGAAAUUAAAAACUUUGUAAUUUACUUUUAUGCAUAGGGGCUUUUGCCUGCAUUGAUGUAUGUCUUCUUUGUUCCUGGCGCCCAUGAGGUCACCCUAGAACUGGAGGUAAAAAUAGGAUGU
Molecule: long non-coding RNA, 1144 nt
Filed under: Mus pahari (shrew mouse)
Lineage: Eukaryota; Metazoa; Chordata; Mammalia; Rodentia; Muridae
Description: lncRNA (MGP_PahariEiJ_G0012180.1)
Source: RNAcentral